UAUUAGGUUGGUACAAAAGUAGUUGUGGUUUUUGCCAUUAAAAAUAAUGGCAAAAUUAAAAGUAAUGGCGAAAACCACAAUUACUUUUGUACCAACCUAAUA
Molecule: microRNA precursor, 102 nt
Organism: Pan troglodytes (chimpanzee)
Lineage: Eukaryota; Metazoa; Chordata; Mammalia; Primates; Hominidae
Rfam family: mir-548 microRNA precursor family
Source: Rfam